This 6929-nucleotide long non-coding RNA is filed under the name Triticum aestivum (bread wheat). RNAcentral describes it as "long non-coding RNA (TAES_LNC011054)". Lineage: Eukaryota; Viridiplantae; Streptophyta; Magnoliopsida; Poales; Poaceae. The record is from RNAcentral.
AGAUUUACAGAAAUUUGAAGCAAGGGAAUGCGUACCUGCUAGAGAUUUGGCCAUGUAUGCAGUCUAGCAAGCACAAACUGGAACUGCCUCAAGGCGAUCUAAGCACUGUUGGAAUAUGAUAUGGGUUUAAAGAUAGAGAUAAGGAGUAGAUAUUAAAUAGGUUUAAACUAUCUAUGUCUUGUCUUGUGCUCCAAGCCUCUACCCCUCAUGUGUCUUCCAUAUAUACCCCAUACAAGGGUCAGAUCAAUACAACGAUACAUAAAACAAUAUUCAUCCAUCCUAUACAAUUUCCAUAAGCACAUCAAACACGAUCCUUGUGCAAAUAUUCUACCAAGGAAAAUGGUAACUCUGAAAGAGAAAAGUUAUCAUGGAACAGGAGCAGAGCAUGGAAAAGAGAUCAGCACACCUACUAGUACUGAAGCCGUUGGUUGGUACUUGGCUUAUGCAAUAAAACAAACCUCUUAUGAAUUUCUUUCAGCUCCAAGUCUACACCUACCGCUACUGGUUAGCGCGUUCAUUAGGUAUUAGAUUAUUUCAACAAUAAUUGAUAUUUGGUCCCAUGACAUAUAUAUUUAAAUCUGACAGCAUCACCAAUUAUGUAACUCCGACAGCAUCAGCAUCAGCAACCAAGGUGCUGACCACGCCAAUUAUGUAACCGACUUAUUCAACCGUGAGGGAUGGCUUUGUAUUCAAAUCAAGGCUUCCGGUUUCUACUUGUCCAGUUCAACAUCACAACCUUUUAUUAACUCCUCCCCCUGUCCUCUCUACAUAUCAUAGCAAAAUGAGUAAAUGUACACUCUAGAAUAACAUAUGUAUGUCAUCCAUAGUGAAAUCUCUACAAAGACUUAUAUUUAGGAAUGAAAGAAGUAUAUACUACUCCCCUGCCGGUGUGGAUAAUAUUUCAAAUAUACCUUCAAUUUUCUUGCCAACGCAUCCAUGCUAUCCUAUCAUUUCAAGGUACCUUCCGCUGGCGAACCAACCUGUGAUAGGAUGGUUAGAGGGACUGUGGUAUCCCCAGCUCACCAGGGUUCAAAUCCGGGUGCUCGCGUUUAUUCCUGGAUUUAUUUCGGAGAUGCUCAUAGGGUAGGGUGUGGGUGUGUGUGUUCAUAGGGUGAGUGUAUGCGCGUGUAUAUUAGCGCUUGUGUCCGUACUGAUGUUAAAAAAAGGUACCUUCCGCCGUUCUUUUCUUUAUAUACCCCUCCAAAUUUUCAAUCAAAAUGAUUAACUCCAACUGCGGCAAAGGUGGCAAAGAAGAGUGAGAGACUGUAGGAAAAGGUGAUUUGGUUUUUUUGGAUUUACAGAUGCCGCCAGCGAAGGCUCCCAGCCACACGUUUCUUCGCCAUUAUUUUGGCAAUGAUAGAGGAUCUCUAAAGUCUAAACUCAAAAGGCAUGAUCCACUGUAGUAGUUCUUUUUUUUCAAAAGAAGGAUAACCCCCGUCCUUUGCAUCGAGCGAUGCACACAACCAUAUAUUAUUAAAACUGUAAAAUUCAGAUAUACUGUAGUAGUUAAUCAAUACAUUAAUAAUGCAUCGAUCGGCGAAGCCGCCGGCAAUCACGUUCUCUGAACUGAUUGAUGUGCGUGAUGCCACUUGGGCCUUCAGUUUUAUCUAUACUUUGUCACUAACAGCCAAGCCAUUAAACAGUUUCAUAGUGCUACUUGUCUUUUUUUUUUUGGAGAUAUAGUGCUACUUGUCUAUUAACUACGCUAGCUUAUGCAUCCCAAGUUGCCGACCUCAAGCUUCAAUAUUUCCCAAAAAAAUGACCUCAAGCUUCGAUUAUAGUAAAGUCAAUGUCAAGUACCAACCAAGCUUAUCGCAUCCCUUCAGAUUUUUGGCAUGUAAUUCUCCAUACAAUUCCCUAUGCAAUUGCCAGCUCCUUAAAAUUGCCUUCUCUACAAUUCACAUUGAUCAACCAUCUAAUGCAUUUUUUGUUCAUAUAAUCGACUUCUCCAUAAUAUUCUCCAUGCAAUUCUUGUUCUUGUAGCAACAAGAUAAACACCAGCCAUUUACACACUUCUAACAAAUUUCAACCAAUAGUACUCAUGUUCAAUCAACAAAUCAACAAAUUUCGUUCUCAGUUCAUACUUAAAAAGCAAUGAACGGUGUUCGCUUUACUUACCACGAGAGGAGGAGGCUACCGANNNNNNNNNNCAAGCCCUGCACCUAGCCACAGAACGAGCCGCCACGGUGCUUGGAAUCGCUGCGCCACCAAGCCAUCACCAGGAAAAACUAGGCCUCCACAAUGAAGGAGGGAGAGGCGCGCUAGGGGAGAGGCACCGCCGCCACCGGCACUGCCCGGGCUUUGCCUGGUAGUGGCCCUUGGCGGCGGCGAGGGGGGGGGGGAGGAUGGAGGAGGUGGUGUUCCACAAACAUAUUCCACUAAGGUUUACUCCUCUAUUUUUUAGGGGAUUCGUUAGAGUUGGCCUUACCUCGUCAGGGUUACCAUUCAUCCUCCCAGGUUCACUCAAAAUGUGGAUUAUUUCCGAUAUAGAAGGUCUAUGUCCUGGUUUUUCCUGCAUGCACUGUACUGCCAUGUCAAUGCAUCUAGUGACUUGAUGGUAUUGUACCGAUGUUGGUGGCUUAUUCCACCUGUGUCUCCAUCUUCGAAGUACCUACAUUUAAGAUAUGUUUAUUGAUUGUUAUAAUCCAAGAAUCUUGCCGUGCAAAUUAUGUCAAUGUCAUGGUAUUUGUAUCCAGCUGGCAAUUUUCUAGUUUAAGGCUACACGUUUGCCUCAUAGUGUGCAACUACAGAAGUGCAUCACUUCAACUCGCCACCAUAAAAAAACUAUCCACCCAUGUGCAAUAUAUCUACAAACAUGUUUAAAUUAGAUAUAUACUUCAGUAGGAUAGUGAACAUAUUCAAGUAAGAACAAAAGAUCCAUGCAGAACAUUGUCAUUGUUCUUAACAGUGAGCGAAAUUACACUUACAUUAUUUUUGUGAGGGACGCCCUUACACCCCUUUACUAAUUCUAUGAUUAUGGCACCCAAACUAUAUAUGUCAGCCUUGAAGGAAAUUUCCCCAUCUUUUUCGUAUUCUGGAGCGAUAUAUCCUCUGCAGGAAAAUGUGAUAGUAUGAUGCAUUAUGCCACAAAGUCAAUGUAUGUUUGUAUGAUAGAGAAAUGUCAUUUAACUAGUGGUUGUACCAACAUAUAGCUUACCGUGUUCCAAUAGGUUGUGCCAUAGUACGUGAGUUUUUAUUUGGUCUUGACAAACCAAAAUCCGUUAGUUUUGGAACCAUUUUAUCACCUAGUAAUAUGUUUGCUGGUUUAAGGUCCAUAUGAAUAAUGUUUUUUUCAUUGUGAAGAUAACACAGACCCUGGCAGAUUCCCAUGAUGAUUUCAUAACGUGUUUCCCAAUCAAGUCCCCUUAAUUCAUCUGUAGAAGAAUAUAUACAUACAACCAAAGGAGUUAUGUUAAAUUACAUACCGAGCAAUGGUAGAUUUUUUUUAUUGAAGGUAAGGGAGUGUACAGAAGAGAUGCAUCGAAAUGUGAUAAGAUCGUACCACUAAUAUGCUGAUCAAGGCUUCCUUUGCUGAUAUACUCGAAACAGAACAAUUUUGCUUUUACGCUGGCCAAAUUAAUUUCUUCUGAUUGAGCCUCUUUUGUCGGUAUCUGAUAUGAAUUAGAACAGAAGCCAAGAAACCUGACUACAUUUUGAUGAUCAAUCUUUGUUAGGAUAUUAAACUCACGACGAAAUGGCUGGUCAUCAAUUGGGUUUACGAUCCUCUUCACAGCAACAAAUAUCCCGUUUGGGAGCACACCCUGUUAGCCAGUGUUUAAAUUAUGCUCCGCCUUACAAUACAAAUGUUUUGCUUCUACAGAUGGUACUUUAUAAUCGAAACUAGUUAUCAUUAUGUAUUGUACAAAUAGUACAUUGUACCUUGUAAACCUCUCCAAAUCCACCCUGACCAAUCUUUCUCUCUUCGGAGAAACCAUUGGUGAUUUUAUGUAACAGUGCCAAUGACAGAUUCGUCGGGUUCUCCUUUCCUUCAAGUAUAAGCUCCAGCACACGUGUGUCCUCCAUUCUAGGUACACGCUGUUAUUCAGAACAGUGGCUUAACAAAUUAGCUUGCCUGACCGACAGAUUUACAGAAAUUUGAAGCAAGGGAAUGCGUACCUGCUAGAGAUUUGGCCAUGUAUGCAGUCUAGCAAGCACAAACUGGAACUGCCUCAAGGCGAUCUAAGCACUGUUGGAAUAUGAUAUGGGUUUAAAGAUAGAGAUAAGGAGUAGAUAUUAAAUAGGUUUAAACUAUCUAUGUCUUGUCUUGUGCUCCAAGCCUCUACCCCUCAUGUGUCUUCCAUAUAUACCCCAUACAAGGGUCAGAUCAAUACAACGAUACAUAAAACAAUAUUCAUCCAUCCUAUACAAUUUCCAUAAGCACAUCAAACACGAUCCUUGUGCAAAUAUUCUACCAAGGAAAAUGGUAACUCUGAAAGAGAAAAGUUAUCAUGGAACAGGAGCAGAGCAUGGAAAAGAGAUCAGCACACCUACUAGUACUGAAGCCGUUGGUUGGUACUUGGCUUAUGCAAUAAAACAAACCUCUUAUGAAUUUCUUUCAGCUCCAAGUCUACACCUACCGCUACUGGUUAGCGCGUUCAUUAGGUAUUAGAUUAUUUCAACAAUAAUUGAUAUUUGGUCCCAUGACAUAUAUAUUUAAAUCUGACAGCAUCACCAAUUAUGUAACUCCGACAGCAUCAGCAUCAGCAACCAAGGUGCUGACCACGCCAAUUAUGUAACCGACUUAUUCAACCGUGAGGGAUGGCUUUGUAUUCAAAUCAAGGCUUCCGGUUUCUACUUGUCCAGUUCAACAUCACAACCUUUUAUUAACUCCUCCCCCUGUCCUCUCUACAUAUCAUAGCAAAAUGAGUAAAUGUACACUCUAGAAUAACAUAUGUAUGUCAUCCAUAGUGAAAUCUCUACAAAGACUUAUAUUUAGGAAUGAAAGAAGUAUAUACUACUCCCCUGCCGGUGUGGAUAAUAUUUCAAAUAUACCUUCAAUUUUCUUGCCAACGCAUCCAUGCUAUCCUAUCAUUUCAAGGUACCUUCCGCUGGCGAACCAACCUGUGAUAGGAUGGUUAGAGGGACUGUGGUAUCCCCAGCUCACCAGGGUUCAAAUCCGGGUGCUCGCGUUUAUUCCUGGAUUUAUUUCGGAGAUGCUCAUAGGGUAGGGUGUGGGUGUGUGUGUUCAUAGGGUGAGUGUAUGCGCGUGUAUAUUAGCGCUUGUGUCCGUACUGAUGUUAAAAAAAGGUACCUUCCGCCGUUCUUUUCUUUAUAUACCCCUCCAAAUUUUCAAUCAAAAUGAUUAACUCCAACUGCGGCAAAGGUGGCAAAGAAGAGUGAGAGACUGUAGGAAAAGGUGAUUUGGUUUUUUUGGAUUUACAGAUGCCGCCAGCGAAGGCUCCCAGCCACACGUUUCUUCGCCAUUAUUUUGGCAAUGAUAGAGGAUCUCUAAAGUCUAAACUCAAAAGGCAUGAUCCACUGUAGUAGUUCUUUUUUUCAAAAGAAGGAUAACCCCCGUCCUUUGCAUCGAGCGAUGCACACAACCAUAUAUUAUUAAAACUGUAAAAUUCAGAUAUACUGUAGUAGUUAAUCAAUACAUUAAUAAUGCAUCGAUCGGCGAAGCCGCCGGCAAUCACGUUCUCUGAACUGAUUGAUGUGCGUGAUGCCACUUGGGCCUUCAGUUUUAUCUAUACUUUGUCACUAACAGCCAAGCCAUUAAACAGUUUCAUAGUGCUACUUGUCUUUUUUUUUUGGAGAUAUAGUGCUACUUGUCUAUUAACUACGCUAGCUUAUGCAUCCCAAGUUGCCGACCUCAAGCUUCAAUAUUUCCCAAAAAAAUGACCUCAAGCUUCGAUUAUAGUAAAGUCAAUGUCAAGUACCAACCAAGCUUAUCGCAUCCCUUCAGAUUUUUGGCAUGUAAUUCUCCAUACAAUUCCCUAUGCAAUUGCCAGCUCCUUAAAAUUGCCUUCUCUACAAUUCACAUUGAUCAACCAUCUAAUGCAUUUUUUGUUCAUAUAAUCGACUUCUCCAUAAUAUUCUCCAUGCAAUUCUUGUUCUUGUAGCAACAAGAUAAACACCAGCCAUUUACACACUUCUAACAAAUUUCAACCAAUAGUACUCAUGUUCAAUCAACAAAUCAACAAAUUUCGUUCUCAGUUCAUACUUAAAAAGCAAUGAACGGUGUUCGCUUUACUUACCACGAGAGGAGGAGGCUACCGAUCUCAGGCGGCAGAACAGAGCACGUAGGAGCCAGGUGUGUCUGGCUAGGGUAGAGGAGAUCGGAUGGACCCGAGUCGGAGGAGCUCUGAUGGAGCCAGGUCGGAGCAGCUCGAUCUGACGGCAGUGGAGGAGUUUGACUUGGACGGGUGAAGCUCGGACGGGCGGCGGCCGGAGCGGAUCUUGGACAGAGCGGCGGGGUGGGAGCUCGGGCGGGUGGUGGAAGACCCGAGAGAAAUCUCGGUUCCUCUUUCCAGAACUAGAGCAUGGAAAAAUUAGUUUGCUCAAGAUAGACAUGCUUGCAGAAAUUUGUAGCAAAGAAAUGCGUACCUGCUGGAGAUUUCGCACAAACUGGAACUGCUCCAAGAUAUAUAUACUAAUGUCUGUGGGAAGAUGAUUACUCUGAAAGAAGAGGCAAGAAAUGGAAGGGAUAUUAAUUCAAGCACAAGCACAAUCAAGACUGCUAGCCAAAUGGAACAGGAGCAGACAACAAACCAAAACGACUUAGGCCUACAAUGGAGAUCAACACACCUGUUAUGAAUGAGCAGAGAGGAAAAACAAAGAUUGGCACUUGCUUUGUUCAAUCAAAGAAAACUUGAGCGCCCCUCUUAUUUGUUUCACACAGUUGGAAGACUUAGACAGAGUCUUCGCCUACCGCUGUCGAUAGGCAUAUUAAUUUAUUUUUACAAUAAAUAAAGGUUCCAUCUGAUCCC